AUGUCUGUCUUUGUCUCUGUCUCUCUCGGUCUCCCUCUCUGUCUGUCUCCCUCUCUCUCUGUCUCCAUCUCUCUCUCUCUGUCUCUCUCCCUCUCCCUCUGUCUCUCUGUCUGUCUCUGCCCCUCUGUCCCUGUCUCUCUGUCUGUCUCUGCCCCUCUGUCUCUGUCUCUCCCUCCCUCCUUCUCUGUCUCUCUGUCUCCAUCUGUCUCUCUCUGUCUCUGUCCCUCUGUCUCUGUCUCUCUGCCUGUCUCCUCCCCUCCCUCUCUCUCUCUCCCUCUCUCCCUCCCUGUCUCUCUCUGUCUCCAUCUCUCUCUGUCCCUGUCCCUCUGUCUCUCUGUCUGUCUGUCUCUGUCCCUCCCUCUCUGCCUCUGUCUGUCUCUGUCUCUCUGUCUCUGUCUCUCCCUCUGUCUCCCUCUCUCUCUCUCUGUCUCUGUCUCUCUAUGUCUCUCCCCCUCUCUCUCUCUCUCUCCGUCUCUCUGUCUCUCUCUGUCUCUCUCUGUCUCUCUCUCCGUCUCUCUGUCUCUGUCUCUCUCUCUCUUUCUCUCCCUCCUUCCCUCUCUCUCUGUCUCCCUCUCUGUCUGUCUGUCUCUGUCUGUCCGUCCGUCUGUCUCUCCCUCUCUCUGUCUGUCUCUCUCUGUCUCCCUCUCUCUGUCUCUGUCUGUCUGUCUGUCUCUGUCCGUCUCUGUCUCUGUCUCUGUCUCUCUCUCUCUCUCUGUCUGUCUCUGUCUCUCUCUCUCUGUCUCUGUCUGUCUCCCUCUCUGUCUCCCUCUCUGUCCCUCUCUCUCUGUCUCUCUGUCUGUCUGUCUCUGUCUGUCUGUCCGUCUCUGUCUCUCUCUCUCUCUUUCUCUCUCCGUCUCUCUCUGUCUUCCCCCACCAGCCCAGGCUCUGCUGCCUGCCCUCCAUUCAUGGAGAGCUCCUCUUCUCCCCACCUGGCCCCCAUCACCCACCUUCCCGAGAAAGAUCUCCCCCAGGGAGGUGGGCCGACGCCUCUCCCUCCACAGCCCACCCUUUGACCCCCUUGGGCAUCCCCCCUUUUCCUUUCCUGUCCCUGGAGGGGCGCCCGGACGCCGGGGGCCUCCACUUCUCUCCUGGCCCCCGAGGCUGGCUCCCGAGCUCACAAGGCACACGAGCUGCUCUCUCCAGCCUCCCAGCCGUUGCCUUUUCUCAAGCCCAGACCCCUGUGCCCGCCGGGCCCUCCCUGUCGUGGGGCUCCCUUCCCUCCCAGGCUUCAGGAUGCCGCUUUGUGCCUUCCAGUUGGGGCCACCCCUCAGUCUCCCGCCUCCCUGUGGGCAUCCCCACGGCUCUGGCCAGGCAGGCCCUCUUCUCCCGCAGAAGACACCCAGACCCAGCCGGCCCCUCUCUGCCGAGCUCCUGUCCACCGUGGCCAGCAGGCUUCCAGACGUCUCUGCUGAGAGGCUCAAGGCGUGUUCUGCUCUCCUCUGGCCCAGGCCCUGGUAA
RNAcentral lists this long non-coding RNA (1458 nucleotides) under Monodelphis domestica (gray short-tailed opossum). RNAcentral describes it as "lncRNA (ENSMODG00000038391.1)". Lineage: Eukaryota; Metazoa; Chordata; Mammalia; Didelphimorphia; Didelphidae. The record is from RNAcentral.